This 460-nucleotide ribosomal RNA is filed under the name uncultured bacterium. Its description in RNAcentral is "partial 16S ribosomal RNA". It matches the Rfam family "Bacterial small subunit ribosomal RNA", at positions 338 to 795 of the family's 1533-position model. The record is from RNAcentral.
CCUACGGGAGGCAGCAGUGAGGAAUAUUGGUCAAUGGACGCAAGCCUGAACCAGCCAAGUAGCGUGCAGGAUGACUGCCCUACGGGUUGUAAACUUCUUUUAUACAGGAAUAAAGUGAUGCACGUGUGCCUUAUUGUAUGUACUGUAUGAAUAAGGAACGGCUAACUCCGUGCCAGCAGCCGCGGUAAUACGGAGGGUCCGAGCGUUAUCCGGAUUUAUUGGGUUUAAAGGGAGCGUAGAGGGGCUGUUAAGUCAGUUGUGAAAGGCUGCGGCUCAACCGUAGAAUUGCAGUGGAUACUGGCAGGCUUGAGUGCAGCGGAGGUAGGCGGAAUUCGUGGUGUAGCGGUGAAAUGCUUAGAUAUCACGAAGAACUCCGAUUGCGAAGGCAGCUUACUAAACUGCCACUGACGUUGAUGCUCGAAAGUGUGGGUAUCAAACAGGAUUAGAUACCCUGGUAGUC